This 171-nucleotide non-coding RNA is filed under the name uncultured Lawsonibacter sp. Its description in RNAcentral is "Lysine riboswitch". It matches the Rfam family "Lysine riboswitch aptamer". From Rfam's summary of the family: Riboswitches are metabolite binding domains within certain messenger RNAs that serve as precision sensors for their corresponding targets. The record is from RNAcentral. Lineage: Bacteria; Bacillati; Bacillota; Clostridia; Eubacteriales; Oscillospiraceae.
AGAUAGAGGUGCGGCUACAUCAGUAGACAUGGCCAGGGAGCCGGUUCCCGCUGAUCCAUGUUCAAAGGGGACGCCGCCGAAGAGCUGCUCUUCCGGUCGAGAGUUUGCUCUGGUCGUCUGGUUAACAGCCAGCCGACUGUCAUCAGGGUCAGGCUGAUGGAGAGCUGUCUG